RNAcentral lists this ribosomal RNA (207 nucleotides) under Triticum aestivum (bread wheat). RNAcentral's name for it is "partial small subunit ribosomal RNA". The record is from RNAcentral. Lineage: Eukaryota; Viridiplantae; Streptophyta; Magnoliopsida; Poales; Poaceae.
AUGAGAGGGUUCGGUACCACUUGGUGUGAGUGGAUCAAAAGUGUCCUGACUGGUGGCACUGGCAGCGUUAAGUUGAAUAAUGUUAUGGGGCCUUAUUUCAAAAGUUUUAAGGGGGUCAGACAAGGAGAUCCUGUGUCGCCAUUCCUCUUCAACAUAGCAGUCGAGUGCUUGUCUAAGAUGGUGUUAUCAGCACAAAAAACAAUCUAA